CAAAAAAUAACUCUGAUUUACCUUCAUGCAUUGAUAGACAAACGGUAUUUAUAUGUGGUUAAUUAUAGCAUGUGACAUGACACAUGAUACAAAAAUUUAUGUAAUUUUAUAAUUCCGAUGUUAUGUUAUAUGAACUUUUACAUAUCUUGUUAAUUCACAUUACAUAUUACAUAUUGAUGGUCUACUUGCAAAACUUCGUAUGUCUAAAAUCGAUAACUUUACAAAAGUAACAAAAAUUGUUUUUAAAUAACGUUUCAAUACAUUAUAUUUAUUACAAUCGCUGCUCAAUCGCCCUAUAAUCCAUUUAUAACAUUAAAGAAUUCAAAAGGCUUGGGGCAGUCUAAUGAAUACAACGAUACCAGUAACUCGAUUUCGGAAAUUUCAGACUUACGACGAUAUGGAAGUAUAAUAGAUAGUAAACCAUAUUUUAUAUUGCAUAAUAUUUUCCCUUUAUACAAUAUCUUUUUUUUUCAAUUUCUGUGUCUAUAGGUUUAUUAAAAAUGCAGUCUUAUCUUCCGAUAGAAAAAUGCGUAAAUAUAUAGUAAGGCAUCGCAGAAAAAAGUAUCUAAUAGGCAAGCUUGUAAAAUUGAGAAAUAGUAUAUAUCUCUGUAUAUCGCACAAGACAGCUCGAAUUUCUUACUUGUUACUAUUAUCGAGAAGUUUUGCGAAGGGGAUAACUGUCGUCGAACUAGGGGUGACACUUUUAAUAUUUAAUGUGCCUUUCACAGUUAAGUUCUCGUACUUAUUUCACGAGCGUGCGUGACCACAUUCAUCCUUAGGGUUGAAAGAGCGAAAGAGUAGUCUCAUCAUGUUAGUCAAUAAUAACAAGGAUAUUUCGAUGUCUUCAGGUUACAGUGAUUUUGUGUGGGCAGUGAAACUACAUUACUUUGGUUUGGAAAUACUCGGCUUAUGGCCUAAAAUCGACAAAUGUGCACGUUUAUGGUCUCGAAUUCGUGUAGGCUUUAUUUUAACUUUGUUAAUAUUUAUUAGUGACAUUCCGUUAAUUUUUGCGAUUGUCCAAACAUGGAGCAAUAUGGUAUCUCUAAUAAAUACUUUACAACUGGCAUUACCCUUCAUGGUAGUAUCAGUGAAAUAUUUUAUCAUACAAUGGAAACGAACAGUUUUCUUAUCCAUUGUAAAUAUGAUGGCGGAAGAUUGGAUGGCAAUCAAGCUGGAUACAGAAAGAAAUGUGAUGAUAAAACAAGCACGAAUUGCUCGAUCAAUCAUGAUCAUUGGAUACAUUUUCGUAGCACUAGCGUGUUUAUCAUUGAUUCUCCCUUCUUAUUUUGGAAUAGAAGUAAUAGAUACAAUGAAUUUAACAAAUAGAAAUAAGCCGUUACCACUUCAGACAUAUCACUACGACACAGAUAAGAGUCCGCAGUUUGAAUUAACAUUACUCAUUCAUACAUUAACAAUCUUGUUUGCAGGUAUUAUUUACCUAUGUCUAGAUAAUUCUUUAAUACUAAUAACUUUUCAUAUUCGUGGCCAAUUAGAGAACUUUAGAUGCCGGUUAGUUAGAUUGGUCUGUUGUAAAAAUUUCAACAAGGUUUUGAAUAAUAUUAUAAUAACACAUUUACGACUUAUCAGAUUUGCCAAUAAUAUUGAAAAUAUAUACUCUUUAAUCAUUUUAAUAUCAAUACUUAAUUUUAGUGUCGUAUUUUGUUUAUGCGGUUUUUUAAUAACUAUUGUAAGUUUUAAUAAAAAAAAUAUAAAAAGCAUUUUAAUGGUACAUAUAUUAUUUCGUUUUCUAAUAACGUAUAAAUUACAGAUAUUUAAUGACAGGAAAAUAAAUGAAACAGCUCUCGCACAAGUAUACCUUUCAACAACUAUUCUUCUUUGCUUAUUGAUAAAUACUUUUCUUUAUUGUGGUGCAGGACAACUUAUUAUAGAGCAAUGUAAUAAAGUACAUUAUGCUGUUUGUGAUCUUGAAUGGUACAAAUUGGAAGCAAGAAAAGCGAGAAAUAUUAUUUUAUUAAUGAUGCAAACUAGUCACCCAUUUUGCAUGACUGCUGGAAAUAUUAUUCCAUUAACGAUGGCUACUUUCGUUAACGUAAGAUUAUUUAAAAUUUGCUAAAUUUAAUUUCGCUUCUUUAUUUUAACCAAUAGUCUAUUUUAAUAAUGCUCGUGCAAGUAUAUGAUUUUCUAAAGAAAUCUCACUGAAUAUCAAAUAUACUCGUCAAAUUGAGAUUAUGAUACAUGUAUACUUAUCAAAAAAUUACUUUUUAAAAGUAACUUGUUACUGUUAUUUGAAAAAUAACGAUACUUACUCGUUACUUUUCCCGUUACUUUUUUAAUGCUUAAGUAAAAUUGGAUUAAAUAAAAAAAAUUAUUUUUUAAAUAUUUUUUAUUAUGAUACUAAUAAGAACAAUAAAUUUUUUUAUUUUAAGUUUGUAAGACAAUAGAUAACAUGUUAUUUUUAUAUUUAUGUAUAAAAAAUUUUCACGUAAUUUCAAGUAAACAUAACUUUGGGAAAAAUUGUAUUUUAAAAUUGUUUUUGCAUUUUGAAGGGUUAAGUUUGUACUUCAAGAGACUUUUGAAUUUAUUUUCUCCUCAACCCUCAACCUCAUAUUUUCAAAAACAAAGCUUUUUUAAGUUUUCAAAGGAAAUGCAUAUUUUGAUGCAGUUUGUGGAGGAACUUUGUUUUCAAAUAUUAUGUGCAAAUCAUCAUAAAAUUUGAACUUUUCCUUGCAAAUAAAGAAAAAGGAAGAUUCUUACGAUCCUCUUUGGCAGAGUUACGCAGUAUUAUGAAGCAAAGUUACCAAUAUAUUUGUGCUUAGUUGCCGCCAAAAUUAGCAUUACCCAAUGCAUACCAUGGUGAAGUUGCAUAUUGGCACGGUUGCCACCUUUCGAUUAGUGUUCUUUUAAAAAUCGAUGAAUCUCUUUUUAUAAUCGCCAUAAAUUGAUUACUAUUGUCUAAAUUAUCUAAAUUUCUAGGAAAUGGUCAAAUUUGAUUCUCAAAUUCCAGAGAUUCUUUAAAAAAUUUCUGACUGAAAAUCAAAGAGAUCGUUAGACUUUUAAACAAAAGAUAAUCAAAAUUUCAAAUUUUCAAGCUGGAGAGUCAGAUGUUCAUUACAAAAUUGGAGUUUUCGGCCGAAAACUGGAGCUGGUGGCAACCGUGGUUGUUGAUUAUAAUUCCCGUGUACAUACAUGUACAUGUAUUAAAGUCGUCAUUUGGAUAUAUAUCGCUUCUAUUGACGAAACAUAGUUGAAGAUUUACAUUUACAUUAAUACUUCUUAUUGUCGCAAAAAAAUCAACGUGUUUAUAGUUAAUUUAGUUACAUAAAGAAUUUUUAUAUUCCACAUUUGUUACUGUAGAAAUAAAGUUUUAUAGUAUUUAUUGCUUAUUGCUGUAAAUUACACACGUAUACUUAUUUUAAGACGUCAUAUUGUCGCUAUAAAGAAUACUGAAAAAUAGUGACUACUGUUCGGUGGGAAAAAAACUUAAAUUUUCACCACUGUGUUUUCGUUUAUUGUUUAUUUCAACAACUAUCACUGUUGUAAAGUUUAUUACGACAUUAUCGCAUAGUAUUAUUCGCGUGGCUCGAGUUCCUCGCCGAGCGAGAGGCGACAGCGCCGUAUAGCGAUCGCGCCUUGUGUUUUUGGAGUUAUUUUGCUCUGGGCCCGUAUUAGAGACACGAUUAUUUAUGAAUAGGUGAACUCGUAUUACAGCUCGCGGAGGCACGGCAGGGAGAGAGAAGACUUAGACGCCGAUUUCGAUCAAAGCGGAAUAAGUGUCGGAGUGCCUUCCGGACCUCUUAUUUAUCAACUUACGAAUUGCCGUGUUUUCACCCCGUUUGGUUCCGAUUUCCGAAAUUUUUACCCCGAUUAGGCAAUCCGGAUCUUUGGUUUCCAAACGCGGCGAAUGAAAGACGAUCGGCCAUUUAGAUACGUUCAGAAUUGGAGGAAAAAUAUUUUUUUGUACACGGAACUCUAUUAUGUAAUAUUAUAAAAUAAAUUUUAUAAUAGUUUUUUU
Solenopsis invicta (red fire ant) is the source of this 3973-nucleotide RNA transcript. It is a transcript of the gene named odorant receptor 43a, with no coding region annotated. Lineage: Eukaryota; Metazoa; Arthropoda; Insecta; Hymenoptera; Formicidae. The record is from RefSeq and is a predicted model, not a curated record. The transcript has 6 exons.